UGGGGAAUAUUGGUCAAUGGAGGCAAGUCUGAACCAGCCAUGCCGCGUGAAGGAAGACGGCCCUCUGGGUUGUAAACUGCUUUUAUUCGGGAAGAAACCUAUUUACGUGUAGAUAGCUGAAUGUACCGAAGGAAUAAGGAUCGGCUAACUCCGUGCCAGCAGCCGCGGUAAUACGGAGGAUCCAAGCGUUAUCCGGAUUUAUUGGGUUUAAAGGGUGUGUAGGCGGGCUAUUAAGUCAGGGGUGAAAGCCGAUAGCUCAACUUUCGAACUGCCCUUGAUACUAAUGGGCUUGAAUGAACAAGAGGUAGGCGGAAUGUGUCAUGUAGCGGUGAAAUGCAUAGAUAUGUCACAGAACACCAAUUGCGAAGGCAGCUUACUAUGGUUUUAUUGACGCUGAGGCACGAAAGCGUGGGGAUCAAACA
This 422-nucleotide ribosomal RNA is filed under the name uncultured bacterium. Its description in RNAcentral is "bacterial SSU rRNA". It matches the Rfam family "Bacterial small subunit ribosomal RNA", at positions 355 to 774 of the family's 1533-position model. The record is from RNAcentral.